RNA transcript from Malania oleifera, 4881 nucleotides. RefSeq lists it as uncharacterized. The record is from RefSeq and is a predicted model, not a curated record. Lineage: Eukaryota; Viridiplantae; Streptophyta; Magnoliopsida; Santalales; Ximeniaceae. The transcript has 4 exons.
CGUGCGUUUGACCCCUCACGGACUCAGAACCUUCGAUUGCCCUAAUUUCUCUGUUCUCUCUCUCUCUCUCUCUCUGUUCCGGGAAUCGAAUGAGCUUAUCAAGAAAUGAUCAACUGGAAUUCUCAGGGAUUAAGGAACUAGGAAGCUGAAGUCAAAUUUAAUUGCGGGGUUCUUCGGAUCAGAAUUAAAUAAUCCAAGCUUAUUUUGGCGGCCGUCGUUGACCCUUUUGACUGAUAUUUUAGUUGCUGACAGUUAUUUAGGAAUUAGGGUUUUGAGUAUUUGGACUUUGAAGUGGGAUAUUUCCCGUGGGAUUUCUUGGGUGUGGUUGAGAAUUUGAUUUCGAUGAUUGUGAAGAAUUCGGGAAUCAAAAUGUCGGGGGAUCGGCAUUCCCCUCGAAUUAAUACUUUCCUGAUAAAAGCUGAGAUUGAAAUGAAGCUUGGGCGCCAUAAUGCGGAUAAAUACUUUGAUCUCUUGAAUGCAUUUUUGAGUCUUAAGAUGAGCAAAUCUGAGUUUGAUAAGCGCUGCAUUGGCACAAUAGGGAGAGAAAAUCUCUACCUUCAUAAUUGCCUUAUUAGAUCAAUUAUAAAAAAUUCUCGCUUAUCUAAGACUCCCCCACCAAAAGAGAGCAAAGUAGAAGAUUCCUUCAAUUCUAAAAUCGCAAAUGGGUAUCAAAGAAGCUGUCUUCAGUCACUCUGUAGAGACGUGUUUCCCCAGUCACCGCGAAAAGGAAGAACUCCAAAUAUUCGCGAUCGUAAGUUCCGGGAUCGACCGAGUCCUCUUGGGCCUCAUGGCAAGAUACAUAGUGUUGCAUGUGAAGAUUCAGUCCCUAAAGUUCAAGAACAACAAAGUGCUACUGAGCUUCUUUCUGUCAGCAGCAGGCCUCCACGUGAAAUUAUCUCAGUGGAAGAUGGGGAAGAAGUUGAGCAGAUUGCUGAAAGCCCAAGCAUUCGUAGUAGAAGCCCUGUUAGAGCUCCUCUUGGCAUUCCUAUGAACUUAAAAGUGAAACGAAAAUCACUCAUUAAUGGAGCAGCAUCUACUCUGGACACUUGUCAUAGCUGUGGUGAGCUACCUGAUUCCACUUCUUUAAGGUACAGAUUAGAGCAGAAGUUGGAGAUGGAGGGUUGCAAGAUCUCGGCGGAUUGCAUUAACAUAUUGAACCAUAGCCUGAAUGUUUUCCUGAAGAGGCUGAUAAAGCCCUGUUUGGAAUCAGCCAGUUCGAGAGCUGGAAACAAAAACUUAAACCAAGUUGGUGAUCAGGUCAUUCCCCGUUUGAGUGGAAUGGGGCCAGCAAGUUAUGUACAAAAACCAACUGGGUCUGUUUAUGCGUCCAUGUUAGACUUCCGGGUUGCAAUGGAGUUGAAUCCGGUGUUGCUGGGAGAGGAUUGGCCAUCACAACUUGAGAAGAUUUCUUUGCGUGCAUCAGAAAAAUAAACUGAAACGUAGUAGCAGAUGGUCUGGAUGAGAACUUGAUCCAGGAUAUGGAGUUUUAACAUCACCAGCCUGAAGGCUUUUCAGCGCUACUGCAUAUCUACAUAUGCGGCACUCGUUGAGAGCUCUCUCCCGACAAGUCAGCCAAAUCUCACACGUUUAAGCCUGCAAGCAUGAGCACCAGGUCAGUCUCAAUACUCAAGAGAAACAAGGAACAAUAUGAUAUCCCACGAGCAAUAUAUUCACAUACACAGAAUAGGACUACAACAAUCAGGUAUAUCACAAUCCAAGGCAACAAAACACCAUAAUGAAAAGGACUACUUGUAUUAUUCAAAUCUAAGAAAAUAACCAUGCAAACGUUAACACAAAUAAUCAUAUAUUCAUUCUAAAUGUCUAGAGAAUACAAUUAUAACAAUAUCUCUCUCCCCCUUUUCCCCAUUACAUUGUCACUCCCUAACACUAUGCUUUUCAGUCUGUGCUAGUAUACUGGUUGUGCAUCCUCUAUUGAGUUUUUUGAGUUUAUCUUAUUAUUUUGUCUUUGAUGCUGAAUCUAAACAUGGGUGUAAUUUCUUUCCUUUGGAUUGUAAAAAGUGUGACAUGAAGUUGUAAUGAUCUUAUUUGAAAUGCCUUAUUGUUAUUGAGUCAAUACUGGCUCUAAACAUGGAAAUCAUUUCCUUCCCCUGGAUUGUAAAAAAUGAUAUACAGAAGUUGAAAUGGCCAUGAAAUCAAACUGCUUCCAACUUCAACGUAAAAUGUGAUAUUUGCAUCAUAUUUUAUCUGGCAAGCAAAAAUGGACCCUGGACAAAUAUCAUAGGAAAUCUUCACGAUUCUUGGUGACAGAAUCCCAUCCAGAAUGUUUUCUAGAUAGAGUAUUGUCUAGUUCUUUGUUUCACUUAUGUGUCUGCGCAUGCACGCACGCACGCGUACGCUAUAAACCUAGAAAUAUCCUUCUAAAUAACAAAGUGAUAUUUAUUUAAAAGUAAGAUAAACUCAAUAAUUAACAGAUUAGUAAACAAAAACUAGUAGCUCCAAAAUAUUUUAGCUAAUGAACCCCAAUUUAUACAAAUAUUGAGCUACUAAUACAUGUAAAAUUUUACUAAAAGUAUUAAAUUUUGUUCAUUGGUCCUCCUAUACCAAUUUACUGUGUAAAUUAAACAUUAUCAAACUAUCAAAGUUGCAGGCACAAAAUAAAAAAAGAUAUAUAAUUCAUCUUAUCCAUUCAAUUUUUUUGUCAAAAAACAAGUGCUUGACAUGUUUUGUUAAAAAAAAAAAUCCUUUUAGACAACAAUACACUGGCUUUUUAAAAAUAUGUUACACAUACCUAUCACUGCAACUUAUUAUGUUCGCACAGGUAUUAUAAAACAUUGUACCUGCAUUCCUAUUCUAAUAAUCUAUUAUAUUUACACAUAUUGUCAUAAAAUAGUCUAAUUCUAACUUUAUUUAACUUUUUUCAUAUUGAUUAGAACUAUCUGAUAUGAUAUCAUAUUUUAGUUAUUAUAAAGUUAUGUGACAUCAUAACCAUUAUAAGGCCAUCAUAUUCAUGUUGUAUCUGUAACAAUGAUAAUUUUUUGCAGCACUUCUUUGACAUGCAUCCAAUAUUUUAUAAAAGGGUAUGGUUUUUAAAAGUAGUUUUCAUAUUUGACACUUUUCUAACACUUCCCAAGUAGGGGAAACAUUGCACUUUUUGAUUUGCAAUGUGACUUUAUUUUAUUUUUCAUAAAACAUCAUAAUUAUCCCCCAAAAAAUUUGCAACUUCAAUUUUUGAAGAAUAAAUUACUGACUUUUUUAACAGAAAAAGAUAUGUAUUGGGAAUUUUACAAAAUAAAAAAAAAUUAUUUAUUAUAUUUUUAUAUAUAUAAUCUUAUAUAAAUAUAAAAUAUAUAUAUAAAUUUAAUAUGUCAUAUGUAAUACAUUUAAACAUAAUAUUAUCUGAUUUUAAUUUACAUUUCCUUGUUGUAUCUUGUAUCUUAUAUCUUAUAUAUUUAUGAUUUGUCAAGUUCAUGUUUUUUUGAUGUUUAAUAUUAAUGUUCCAUAUGUCCAUACUUUAUAAUUGCAAGGAAAAUAUAAACGCUUAUAAAUUACUUUUGUUAUCCAUAUAUUAACUUCUAAACUUGCAAUAAUUUAUCAAUUUGUUUUAAACAACUUCUAAACUAUAUUAGAAUUAUCCAAAUAUAUUAGUUAAAAUUAUUCACUUUCAAUCAUGUGUGACAGGCAUGAAAUAUUUACUAGUACACACACUUAUAUGUAUGUAUGUGCUUAUAUGUAUGUAUGUACGUAUACACCCACCCACCCACACUUUUGAAAAUGUUAUAAAGCAGGCAGAAAGCAAGAGCUGAGACAUGCAUCCAUGCAAGCUUAUUUUUCUGUGCGUCUUCCAAGUGAGAGAGCAUCACAAGGUAUUGUCUCAAUUCUUGUACGAGAUACCCAAUAUAUCUUCUCUUGUGGGGGUGCGUGCAACGGAAGCAAUAACUUCUGCAAGAUUGAUUAAUUAGCCCACUUCAAUAAUUUCAAGCUACUUUCACUGCUGUCGUGUCUCAAGGAUGCAAGUAACUUCUAGUUUGUGCAAGUGGAGAAACUCCAUCCUAGUAUGUGGUCCUGGCACUGCUUAGAGAGAGAGAGAAGCAUGGAGUAGGAAUGGGGUUUCUGGUUUGUUCAGGUUUGGGUUGGGAGUCUUCCUAUGCUUUGGGUUGCUAGCUUUGUUACGCAUGCCCACUCACUGUUUGCUUGAUGUUUCCUGAAGUAAGUGUUAUAGAUAGGUUAUGAUGCUUUUGCCAAGUCCCUGGAAGGUGGGAGAAGUAUGUCAAGUUGAGCUCCUCUUUCAAUGCCCUUGCUUCCACCCUCGCUGCUGCUUCAUCUUCUUCUUCCUCUUUUUUCUUCUCAGUUUCUUCCCCAAUAAAAAUGCAUGGAAAUAUGGGAUAGCACCUUAAUGGUCACCAGGCGAUCAUUAUUUCUUGUAUUUUCAUGCAUGCCCUAGUGCUUGAAAAUUGGAACUACAAUAGCUAGCUUCUUCUGCACAGAUUGGCUGUUUCAAAUUCUGCUUGCAGAUAAUGUUGGACUUGUUUCUUUGCACUGCACCGACAAAUGGACUUCCUUUUCUACAAUAUGACACGUUAAUUUCUUCUUUCUGGGAAGUAACUGCUGCUAAUAGCAUAAAACUUAAAAAUGAAGGCUUGUUGCUGCCUUCUAUACAUGGGCAUCUCUGGCCAUCAUGUGUUGAUGAUGAAAGAAAACUGACGGUUUAACUGCCCUGUUCCAUCCCAGUAAACUAUCUUUGGCUCAUGUGGCUGACAAGACUAGACUCCAAAUGCUUGGAAUAGCAGAGCCCCUGAUGGAAGGGACCGCAGGUUGAUACCAAAUUAAACAAUUUGCAUUAUUGAGUUAAAUCUUGUGGAAAGUGACUGCACUAUAUGCUUUUAUAUGUGAAACAUUGAUAUGUUAGAUGAUCAAUGGUUU